Molecule: ribosomal RNA, 496 nt
Filed under: uncultured bacterium
Lineage: Bacteria
Description: partial 16S ribosomal RNA
Rfam family: Bacterial small subunit ribosomal RNA
Source: RNAcentral
GAUGAACGCUGGCGGCGUGCCUAAUACAUGCAAGUCGAGCGAACAGAUGAGGAGCUUGCUCCUCUGACGUUAGCGGCGGACGGGUGAGUAACACGUGGAUAACCUACCUAUAAGACUGGGAUAACGUCGGGAAACCGGAGCUAAUACCGGAUAAGAUAUUGAACCGCAUGGUUCAAUAGUGAAAGACGGUUUUGCUGUCACUUAUAGAUGGAUCCGCGCCGCUUUAGUUAGUUGUUAAGGUAACGGCUUACCAGGGCAACGAUGCGUAGCCGACCAGGGAGGUUGUUCGUCACCCCUGAACCUGGACACCGGUCCGGCUCCCUCCGGGGGGCACCGGUGGGAAUUUUGCCGCAUUGGGCGAAAGCCUGACCAAGCAUCGCCGCGGGGGUGAUGAGGGUCUCCGGUUCGUAAACCUCUGUUAUUGGGGAAGAGCAAAUUUGUAUGUAACUAUGCACGUCUUGCCGUUACCUAAGCAGAAAGCCCCGGCUACUACGUG